UAGCCACAAAAAUGGGUAUUUUUUCAGG
RNAcentral lists this small RNA (28 nucleotides) under Bombyx mori (domestic silkworm). RNAcentral's name for it is "ovarian small RNA-22327". Lineage: Eukaryota; Metazoa; Arthropoda; Insecta; Lepidoptera; Bombycidae. The record is from RNAcentral.